GGUUUCGUGGUGGAAUGGCCAGCACACUUGGCGCGUAUCCGAGAGGUCCGAGGUUCGAAUCCCGGCGAGGGCA
RNAcentral lists this transfer RNA (73 nucleotides) under Stegodyphus mimosarum. It matches the Rfam family "tRNA". From Rfam's summary of the family: Transfer RNA (tRNA) molecules are approximately 80 nucleotides in length. Lineage: Eukaryota; Metazoa; Arthropoda; Arachnida; Araneae; Eresidae. The record is from Rfam by way of RNAcentral.